RNAcentral lists this unclassified non-coding RNA (373 nucleotides) under fungal sp. RNAcentral's name for it is "partial internal transcribed spacer region". The stretch from base 1 to 46 matches the Rfam family "Eukaryotic small subunit ribosomal RNA", at positions 1786 to 1831 of the family's 1831-position model. The record is from RNAcentral. Lineage: Eukaryota; Fungi.
AAGUCGUAACAAGGUUUCCGUAGGUGAACCUGCGGAAGGAUCAUUAACACGUAAAAUUACACUUGCUCUCGUGGCCUGCUAAAAUUGCAAUCCCUGGUAAAUCAUUGUUGAACAGAUUUUGAUUCAGGGACCUCAGUUUGGUAGGUUUCGAUCGAGCGAUCGUUGCAAGUGACCUGGUUUCCAGAAGCAUCAUGUCUGAAAGUGUCAUUGUUGUGGAAGGAUAACGCUUUACGAUCACUGGCCGAACACCGGCUAGUGGACGGGUCGCAGCGGCUUCGGCCCCCCCAUAUUCACCCCACUACCAGAACUCGCCUCGUAGGAAACUGCUGGGCAACAAAACGAACAACUGUUAACAAUGGAUAUCUUGGUUCUC